GUAGAACGCUGAAGGAGGAGCUUGCUUCUCUGGAUGAGUUGCGAACGGGUGAGUAACGCGUAGGUAACCUGCCUGGUAGCGGGGGAUAACUAUUGGAAACGAUAGCUAAUACCGCAUAAUAGUAGAUGUUGCAUGACAUUUGCUUAAAAGGUGCAAUUGCAUCACUACCAGAUGGACCUGCGUUGUAUUAGCUAGUUGGUGAGGUAACGGCUCACCAAGGCAACGAUACAUAGCCGACCUGAGAGGGUGAUCGGCCACACUGGGACUGAGACACGGCCCAGACUCCUACGGGAGGCAGCAGUAGGGAAUCUUCGGCAAUGGACGGAAGUCUGACCGAGCAACGCCGCGUGAGUGAAGAAGGUUUUCGGAUCGUAAAGCUCUGUUGUAAGUCAAGAACGGGGAUGGGAGUGGAAAGUCCAUCUUGUGACGGUAGCUUACCAGAAAGGGACGGCUAACUACGUGCCAGCAGCCGCGGUAAUACGUAGGUCCCGAGCGUUGUCCGGAUUUAUUGGGCGUAAAGCGAGCGCAGGCGGUUAGAUAAGUCUGAAGUGAAAGGCUGUGGCUUAACCAUAGUAUGCUUUGGAAACUGUUUAACUUGAGUGCAGAAGGGGAGAGUGGAAUUCCAUGUGUAGCGGUGAAAUGCGUAGAUAUAUGGGGGAACACCGGUGGCGAAAGCGGCUCUCUGGUCUGUAACUGACGCUGAGGCUCGAAAGCGUGGGGAGCGAACAGGAUUAGAUACCCUGGUAGUCCACGCCGUAAACGAUGAGUGCUAGGUGUUAGGCCCUUUCCGGGGCUUAGUGCCGGAGCUAACGCAUUAAGCACUCCGCCUGGGGAGUACGACCGCAAGGUUGAAACUCAAAGGAAUUGACGGGGGCCCGCACAAGCGGUGGAGCAUGUGGUUUAAUUCGAAGCAACGCGAAGAACCUUACCAGGUCUUGACAUCCCGAUGCCCGCUCUAGAGAUAGAGUUUUA
RNAcentral lists this ribosomal RNA (972 nucleotides) under uncultured Streptococcus sp. Its description in RNAcentral is "bacterial SSU rRNA". It matches the Rfam family "Bacterial small subunit ribosomal RNA", at positions 61 to 1016 of the family's 1533-position model. The record is from RNAcentral. Lineage: Bacteria; Bacillati; Bacillota; Bacilli; Lactobacillales; Streptococcaceae.